UCUUCCACUGAGCCACAGACAUGUCAUCCUUACCCUGCAGAGGACAAACACCCAGAGGUGGAAACAGCUGGCAGCGCCUUUUAACAUCAGAAAAAGCAGCGUUGGAGCGAAGAGUUAAGAUGUUUCAUUAAGACUGGGGCUGGAAAACGCAUCACACUCCUGAUUUCGCUGCAGCCGGCCCAGGAAACCGGACCAGGAAACCGGACCAGGAAACCGGACCAGGAAACCGGACCAGGAAACCGGACCAGGAAACCGGACCAGGAAACCGGACCAGUGAUUUUAUUUUCAGCAGUGAAAGGAAAUAAAUGAGGUCCAGCACUUUUCACUUGGCGCCCCCUUCAGGUUCCUGUUCUCCUCCUCUGGUUCUGGACCGAAGGUUCUGGACGUUCGGGUCUCUGCAGGGCAGAAUGAAGCAGCUUCUCGUGU
Long non-coding RNA from Xiphophorus maculatus (southern platyfish), 426 nucleotides. RefSeq lists it as uncharacterized. The transcript has 4 exons. NCBI's taxonomy places the organism in Eukaryota, Metazoa, Chordata, Actinopteri, Cyprinodontiformes, Poeciliidae. The record is from RefSeq and is a predicted model, not a curated record.